This 181-nucleotide ribosomal RNA is filed under the name uncultured soil bacterium. Its description in RNAcentral is "partial 16S ribosomal RNA". It matches the Rfam family "Bacterial small subunit ribosomal RNA", at positions 26 to 216 of the family's 1533-position model. The record is from RNAcentral.
AGCCUGAACGCUGGCGGCGUGGCUAAGACAUGCAAGUCGCACGGGCGUAGCAAUACGUCAGUGGCGAACGGGUGAGUAAUGAAUCGCUAACGUGCCCCGGACUCCGGGAUAGCUAUCCGAAAGGGUAGGUAAUACCGGUUGACGUACCGCUCAGGCAUCUGAGUGGUCCCAAAGGUCCGCC